GACGUAGGGUGCAAGCGUUGUCCGGAUUUAUUGGGCGUAAAGAGCUCGUAGGCGGCUUGUUGCGUCGACUGUGAAAACCCGCGGCUUAACCGCGGGCUUGCAGUUGAUACGGGCAGGCUAGAGUUCGGUAGGGGAGACUGGAAUUCCUGGUGUAGCGGUGAAGUGCGCAGAUAUCAGGAGGAACACCGGUGGCGAAGGCGGGUCUCUGGGCCGAUACUGACGCUGAGGAGCGAAAGCGUGGGGAGCGAACAGG
This 253-nucleotide ribosomal RNA is filed under the name uncultured bacterium. RNAcentral's name for it is "partial 16S ribosomal RNA". It matches the Rfam family "Bacterial small subunit ribosomal RNA", at positions 524 to 776 of the family's 1533-position model. The record is from RNAcentral.